Molecule: ribosomal RNA, 492 nt
Filed under: uncultured bacterium
Lineage: Bacteria
Description: partial 16S ribosomal RNA
Rfam family: Bacterial small subunit ribosomal RNA
Source: RNAcentral
AGUGAACGCUGGCGGUAGGCCUAACACAUGCAAGUCGAACGGCAGCACAGUAAGAGCUUGCUCUUACGGGUGGCGAGUGGCGGACGGGUGAGGAAUACAUCGGAAUCUACUUUUUCGUGGGGGAUAACGUAGGGAAACUUACGCUAAUACCGCAUACGACCUACGGGUGAAAUCAGGGGAUCUUCGGCCCUUGCGCGAUUGAAUGAGCCGAUGUCGGAUUAGCUAGUUGGCGGGGUAAAGGCCCACCAAGGCGACGAUCCGUAGCUGGUCUGAGAGGAUGAUCAGCCACACUGGAACUGAGACACGGUCCAGACUCCUACGGGAGGCAGCAGUGGGGAAUAUUGGACAAUGGGCGCAAGCCUGAUCCAGCCAUACCGCGUGGGUGAAGAAGGCCUUCGGGUUGUAAAGCCCUUUUGUUUGGAAAGAAAAGCAGCAGGUUAAUACCCCGCUGUUCUGACGGUACCCAAAGAAUAAGCACCGGCUAACUUCGUG